GCACAAGCAGCGAGCAUGUGGUUUAAUUCGAUGCAACGCGAAGAACCUUACCUGGGCUUGACAUCCCGAGAAUCCCCUGGAAACAGGGGAGUGCCUUUCGGGGAACUCGGAGACAGGUGCUGCAUGGCUGUCGUCAGCUCGUGUCGUGAGAUGUUGGGUUAAGUCCCGCAACGAGCGCAACCCUUGUCUUUAAUUGCCAGCAUUCAGUUGGGCACUUUAAAGAGACUGCCGGUGUUAAGCCGGAGGAAGGUGGGGAUGACGUCAAGUCCUCAUGGCCUUUAUGCCCAGGGCUACACACGUGCUACAAUGGGUGGUACAAAGAGAUGCCAACUCGCGAGAGCGCGCCAAUCUCAGAAAGCCAUCCUCAGUUCGGAUUGGAGUCUGCAACUCGACUCCAUGAAGUUGGAAUCGCUAGUAAUCGCGGAUCAGCACGCCGCGGUGAAUACGUUCCCGGGCCUU
Molecule: ribosomal RNA, 459 nt
Filed under: uncultured Syntrophus sp.
Lineage: Bacteria; Pseudomonadati; Thermodesulfobacteriota; Syntrophia; Syntrophales; Syntrophaceae
Description: bacterial SSU rRNA
Rfam family: Bacterial small subunit ribosomal RNA
Source: RNAcentral